UGGUAUUGGUGUUGGUGGUGAUAGUGGUGGUAUUGGUGGCAUUGGUGGUCUUAGGGGUGGUGUUAGUGGUGGUGUUGGUAUUGGUGUUGGUGGAAUUGGUAUUAGUAUUAGUAGUAUUGGUGGUGGUGGUGGUGGUAUUGGUGGCGCUGUUGGUGGUGUUGGUGGUGGUAUUGGUAUUGGUGGUGGUGGCAUUAGUAUUGGUGGUGGUGG
This 210-nucleotide long non-coding RNA is filed under the name Capsicum annuum. RNAcentral describes it as "long non-coding RNA (CANN_LNC000838)". Lineage: Eukaryota; Viridiplantae; Streptophyta; Magnoliopsida; Solanales; Solanaceae. The record is from RNAcentral.